RNAcentral lists this ribosomal RNA (382 nucleotides) under uncultured Turicibacter sp. RNAcentral describes it as "bacterial SSU rRNA". It matches the Rfam family "Bacterial small subunit ribosomal RNA", at positions 505 to 895 of the family's 1533-position model. Lineage: Bacteria; Bacillati; Bacillota; Erysipelotrichia; Erysipelotrichales; Turicibacteraceae. The record is from RNAcentral.
GUGCCAGCCGCUGCGGUAAUACGUAGGUGGCAAGCGUUAUCCGGAAUUAUUGGGCGUAAAGAGCGCGCAGGUGGUUAAUUAAGUCUGAUGUGAAAGCCCACGGCUUAACCGUGGAGGGUCAUUGGAAACUGGUUAACUUGAGUGCAGAAGAGGGUAGUGGAAUUCCAUGUGUAGCGGUGAAAUGCGUAGAGAUAUGGAGGAACACCAGUGGCGAAGGCGGCUACCUGGUCUGUUACUGACACUGAGGCGCGAAAGCGUGGGAGCAAACAGGAUUAGAUACCCUGGUAGUCCACGCCGUAACGAUGAGUGCUAAGUGUUGGGGUCAACCUCAGUGCUGAAGUUACGCAUUAAGCACUCCGCCUGGGAGUACGGUCGCAAGACU